AUAUAUAUAUAUAGAGUGAGGCUACUAUGCUAUCGAAAAUAGGGAGCUUUCCGUGCUUCCAGCUCGUUUUCGAUGUUGUGCGACUUUCGAAUCGUCGAUCGGCUCCGUUAAACUUGAUCUAAAGUAUUUGAAGUAACUAGAAAAUAAAUUUUAUGAUUUUACUAUAUUAUUUGCCUAGUGAACGAAAGGGCUCAAAAUCAACGGCUGAAAAUAAAAAUCUUACAAAAUGUAAUAAUAUGACAUUAAAAUUUUAAAUCAAAGAUAUUGAUCUUGUUUUACAGAGUAUAAAGAAUUUUCUAUCAAAAUUUCACAUGAUUUGGAUAUUUUUACACCAUUAAACUUGCAAACGGCUCACCACGGUCAUUGAAAUUCGUUGAUUUUGAGCCCCUUCGUUCACUAGGCAAAUGAUAUAGUAAAAUCAUAAAAUUUAUUUUC
This 435-nucleotide long non-coding RNA is filed under the name Ananas comosus (pineapple). RNAcentral's name for it is "long non-coding RNA (ACOM_LNC017253)". Lineage: Eukaryota; Viridiplantae; Streptophyta; Magnoliopsida; Poales; Bromeliaceae. The record is from RNAcentral.